AUUGAACGCUGGCGGCAUGCCUAAUACAUGCAAGUCGAACGAACAGACGAGGGCCUUGCUCCUGUGACGUUAGCGGCGGACGGGUGAGUAACACGUGGAUAAGCUAUCUAUAAGACGGUGAUAACGUCGGAACACCAGUGCUAAUACCUACGAAUAUAGGAUGCCACAGGGGUCAAUAGUGAAAUACGGUUUUGCUGUCGCUUAUAGAUGGAUCCGCGCCGCAUUAGCUAGUUGGUAAGGUAACGGCUUACCAAGGCAACGAUCAGUAGCCGGUCUGAGAGGGUGAUCAGCCACACUGGAACUGAGACACGGUCCAGACUCCUACGGGAGGCAGCAGUAGGGAAUGUUCGACAAUGGGCGAAAGCCUGAUCGAGCAAUGCCGCGUGAGUGAUGAAGGUCUUCGGAUCGUAAAACUCUGUUAUCCGGGAAGAAAAACUGUGUCCGUAAAUAGGCGGGUCAUGACGGUACCUAAUGAGAAAGCACCGGCUAACUACGUG
This 497-nucleotide ribosomal RNA is filed under the name uncultured bacterium. RNAcentral describes it as "partial 16S ribosomal RNA". It matches the Rfam family "Bacterial small subunit ribosomal RNA", at positions 30 to 507 of the family's 1533-position model. The record is from RNAcentral.